UUAUGGUGGGCUGGGCGAGGCAGCCGAAAGGCUGGCCGGGUCCUUUGUAGCCGGUAGUCUCAACCUCGUCCAGUUCACCACCA
Molecule: non-coding RNA, 83 nt
Filed under: Klebsiella grimontii
Lineage: Bacteria; Pseudomonadati; Pseudomonadota; Gammaproteobacteria; Enterobacterales; Enterobacteriaceae
Source: RNAcentral